Molecule: transfer RNA, 87 nt
Filed under: Candidatus Magasanikbacteria bacterium CG10_big_fil_rev_8_21_14_0_10_40_10
Lineage: Bacteria; Candidatus Magasanikiibacteriota
Description: tRNA-Leu
Rfam family: tRNA
About the family: Transfer RNA (tRNA) molecules are approximately 80 nucleotides in length. Their secondary structure includes four short double-helical elements and three loops (D, anti-codon, and T loops).
Source: RNAcentral
GCUGGGGUGGUGAAAUUGGUAGACACGAUAGCCUUAGGAGCUAUUGGAAGCAAUUCCAUGGAGGUUCGAGUCCUCUCCCCAGCACCA